AUGCAAUUCCUGCUUUGUCAUCUUUGUUUUGUUUUUGUUUUAUUUCAGAUUAUUUUGGAUACAUUUUUCCUGCAAAAUAAGUCACAUGCAGAGGCCGUGUUUCACUUUUCCUCUUCAACGCCUCUGCCGCUGUGGGCCGCGUCACACACAGUCGCAGGCCUGGCUGGUGCCGAGGAGGUAAUGGCGCCGUUGCCUGCGGUAAGUGACAGCGCUCCAGUGGCGCGGCUCAGGGAUUACCGCUCGAGCGUGAGCAGAUUCCGGCGCGUUCGGAUCCUCUCGAGCAUCGGAGGCACGGACUCGUCAGCCUUCAGGGGUGACAUCGCAGCCGCCUGCCCGGAUCGGCCGCACCCAGGCGGGUCCGGUGAACAUUUUAUGGGUGGUGUGCAGAAAAGGGCGUUUUUGUUCCGUCUCACCUACCUUCAUCUGGUAUCCCUUGGCCUCCCUUGGGCCGUGCGCCUUAAACCUUUCUGGGCGGAGUGGUGGCUCUGUGGCUAAGGAUCUGUGGCUGGAAGGUUGCUGGAUCGUAUCCUGCGGCCGGCAGAGGAAUCCUACCUGGUUGGGCCCCUGAGCAAGGCCCUUAACUGCUCCAGGGGCGCCGUAUAAAUGGCUGACCCUGCGCUCUGACCCCAAGCUUCUCUCUCCCUGUCUGUGUCUCAUGGAGAGCAAGCUGGGGUAUGCAGCCAUAACACCCUGCAAUUCACAACUGGCAACCCACUGAAGCUAAGCGGGCGUGAGCCUGGUCAGUACCUGGAUGGGAGACCUCCUGGGAAUAACUAAGGUUGCUGCUGGAAGAGGUGUUAGUGGGGCCAGCAGGGGGUGCUCACCAUGAGGCUCAUGUGGGUCCUAAUGCCCCAGUGUAGUGACGGGUACACUAUACUGUAAACAGGCGCCGUCCUUCAGAUGAGACGUAAAACCGAGGUCCUGACUCUCUGUGGUCAUUAAAAAUCCCAGGGCAUUUCUCGAAAGGUUUAGGGGUGUACCCCGGCAUCCUGGCCCAAUUUCCCAUUGGCCUUUAUCAAUCAUGGCCUCCUAACAAUCCUAAUAAUCCCCAUCUAUGAAUUGGCUUCAUUACUCUGCUCUCCUCCCCACUGAGAGCUGGUGUGUGGUGAGCGUUCUGGCGCACUAUGGCUGCCGUCGCAUCAUCCAGGUGGGGCUGCAGACUGGUGGUGGUGGAGGGGAGUCCCCAUUACCUGUAAAGUGCUUUGAGUGGAGUGUCCAGAAAAGCGCUAUAUAAGUGUAAGCAAUUAUUAUUAUUAUUAUUGUUAUGCGAAAAGACAAAUUCCUAAUGCAAGAAAUUGUAUAUUGUAUAUCUGAUCUUAAACGUGAGGGUGUCCAGAGUGUCCAGCUGCUUGGGAGGAGACAUCCUCCUGUCGCCCUUCUCCAGAGGCGAGGUCCUGGGUACGUCUCCGACAUGGCAGAUGGCUGAAGGCUGACGGUUCUCGAGAGGAUCCGAACACGCCGGAAUCUGCUCACGCUCGAGCGGUAAUCCCUGAGCCGCGCCACUGGAGCGCUGUCACUUACCGCAGGCAACGGCGCCAUUACCUCCUCGGCACCAGCCAGGCCUGCGACUGUGUGUGACGCGGCCCACAGCGGCAGAGGCGUUGAAGAGGAAAAGAGAGACGCUACCCCUCAGAGGUGUGAAGCAGGUUACACUCCGUACUCUCCCCAGCCUCACUUCUGAAGGGGAUUUUCUGAUUAACCGCAAAUUUGAUGGGUCUAUAAGAACAAAAAAACUCGCAAUUUCAAAUACAAAAACCAAUAAUUAUCGAUUCCAAGAUAUGGUGGGAUGAAAAGACGAUUAUAAUUGGGACUGUGAAAUGUAUUAAAGGCAGAUGCCCUCACCUAUUGAUGCAUAAUUGUCUGACGCAACUCCACACUGUUCUCUCUAGAUCACAGCUGGUUAAGGGCUGUUGUUUCCUUGCUUUGAGCUGCCUGCUCAUUAGGCAGUAAGUGAGUCCAUCUCCAGAAAGGCAGGCUGAUACACAGGCCCUUUGCGGAAAUCAAUAGUAGGGUUUAGAGCUGUGUCCCAACACCGCAGGCGAGCCAACCAUAGCUAAUGAAAGCCGAGCUGCCCCUGGGUACGCAGGGAUUAUAUCUAAUUGUCUGCGUCUAACAACAUCAGCACUCCAGCCAGCCUAAUUUCCCUUUUAAUUUAAAAAGUGCCCUCUUGGAUAGCUCUGCUGGAGAAAAAAACAGCACUUAAAGGAGGGAGACGCUGUGCACUGUAGGCAUUGUAACUCAGAGGUCCCCAUGAAGACACUUCAUCUGUGAAGCUCACUCUGGCCUUUCAUUUCACUGCUUCAGUCGGUGUGUACUGGAGUAAAAACAGAAGAAGAACGAGAGACUUCUAAGGGAGUCACAGAAACACGAGACAUCACCUAUGUCACUCACUUACACCAGAUUCUUGAACAAAGUGCGAUUUUUUAUUUAAAAAAAAAAUCAGAGUGACAUGAAACUGCGUCUUGCUUUGGAGCGUAGAAAAGGAUUCGGCUUUGAUUUCACAGAUGAAUUCUUAGGGAGUGCGGGGAAAAAAAUCCUUUAAGAUUCAACAGCCAAUAUUUGCAGAAAUGAACAAACGAUAAAACCCACAAGUCCGUUUCGCCUUAGAUCCUGUGUUUGACUGUCACGGUGCAAAGAAAGCUGCUUUAUUCCUUAAGCACGGGGAAGCAGAGAACAAAAGCUCUGUACAUGCAUCACUGCAAUUACAUGACAUUGAUAUUGCGGUGAUAUUGCACCCUUGUUCCUACUGAGCUCUGCACACCCAGUUGCUUUCAAGUCUUAACUUUGCAUGCGAUUAAGUAAGAUCUCCCAAUGCAACGUUCUAAAAAAAUUCAAACAUUGUCAUGAGCAUCAGAGGCAGACGAGAAACAGGCCUGAAUGUAAUUUUCAUGCUACAGAGUGCGAUCAGGAGGCGGUGCACUAAACGCAGCUGUACUGGGAAGCAGUAGAUGACACAUAGGUGCUUUUUAUUGAUAACCCCUGUAUCUGAAAUUGCUUUUUCUAAGUCCUGCUACGACCCUUGUACCAACCAUGGGCUCCAGGGAGUGUGCACACCUUUCUUCUGAAGAGCUCACUUGUCAGAGCCAUUUGCCAUUUUACAGACUGCAAGCUCCACAGUGCUGGUGGUGGGGUUGGCCCUAUCUGGGGGAGAGGUGGAGCUCUGAAUGUCUCUAACCCAGUCUAGCAGAGCUGUGCACUUCAAACGCCUGGCUUUACUGGCUGGGCUGCUUCAGGUUGCCCAGAAGGGAUGUCACAUCGGGGGGGGUCAAGGGUGCUUUUCACGGGAAUCUGUUGUAGGAUCACGGAUUGGGCCGGUGAAAGCAGACCGAGCACAAUCCAAAAAUCAAUGGCCAUCACUGCUUCGGCUUUUAUAUUUUGUGAGAUUCCUUUUUUUUUUUAAAAGCCAGAAGGUGUGUGGAGUGAUUGAAAUCCAACCGGUUUUGUGUUCUUAGUUUUGCAGGUGCGUGCGAGUAAGUUUUGAUAGAUGGAGUAAAAGUUGAAUGUAGAGGUCAAUAAGAUGAGGCAGUUUUAUUGAGACCAGGUCCUAAAUCAUGUAGCUAGAGCAGGGGUCAGAAGGCUCUCUGAAUGCCUCAGCUCAUCACUUUCUUUCAAUUUUCCCAGAAAGAAACGUUCACUUGUCACUUUUUUGAGGCACGUUAUUGUCCCUUUUCAAACCAGCAGUUUUUAUUUUAAAAAAAUAUUCUUCUUUUUCUUGAUCAAAACACACACGUUGCCUACUUGUGCCUUUCAGUUGGGAGUCUUUUAAAAUGCAAAUGUUCUCUGUUAUGCUGUAAUGACUUUUCAGAAGUAGCCAAAAAAUGGAGAAAAAAAAACAGGAUGAAAUGGAACAUUUCUGAAAAGAUAAGGAAAAGCAAAUGCCACAGUGAGUUCUGUCUGAGGAAGCAGUGCUGCUUUUUGAAACUGUACAGGGACCUUCGAUUGCUUCAAAUUAGACGUGUUUGAAGUUCCUCUAGCCCAGCAUUAACACCACAGCUUCAGAAAUAUAUGGACGGACUCCAUUCAGCUCCAUCACGUCUUGGGCCUGUCUGUUAAGGCUUCUAGGAGAGGAGGAGAAGGAACAGGAGAUAUAUAUAUACAGUAUGUAGCGGUGUGCGUGAAUUAUGAAUAAUCGUGCCUGAGAUUACUGUCGAUAUGGAAGUGGGCCGUAAGAAGAUAGGAAAGCGAUUAUUAGACGCUAAGAUAAGAUCACUUUAUUAGCCCUAUACAAUUUCUUGCAUUAGGAAUUUGUCUUUUCACAUACCCCAGCUUGCUGUCCAUGAGACACACAGACGGUUUUUGUUUGCUUGGAUCUUUAUUUGUUUUUCAUCUGGGGGGACCUGUGUUUUGAUUAAGGAGCGCUUACGGGAGGACGAUACCAAUUGAAGAGAGCAUUAGACUUGAUUCAGUAUCCGUGCGUAAAGGGCCCCCUGUGCAUCAAAUGCCUACACACCUAUCCCGCCCUGAAGCUCCUAUCUCCUGAUGUCGGAGCUGUGCAAAGUGAGUGGAAGUAACAUAACAUCAUAACAUCACUUUAUUAGCCCUAUACAAUUUCUUGUAUUAGGAAUUUGUCUUUUCGCAUACCCCAGCUUGUUCUCCAUGAGACACACAGACAGUGAGAGAAGCUUUGGGGUCAGAGCGCAGGGUCAGCCAUUUAAACAGGGCCCCUGGAGCAGUUGGGGUUAAGGGCCUUGCUCAGAGGCCGAACGGAUUAGGAUUGCUCUGCAGGCCACGGGAUACGAACCGGCAACCUUCCAGCCACAGGUGCAGAUCCUUAGCCACAGAGCCUUAAAUAAGGACCGAGACGCUAUCUCCAAAGGAAACCUCAAAUCUAAUUAAAAUGUGUUGGGAAACCUUGAGAGGCAAGAAAGUUUUGUUGAUAACACUUCAGGGGCAGCACUGGAGGGGUUCCUCUCAAACAGGACAUGCGCCGUGUGUGUUCCGUCUUCCCAAGGGGCAGGCUGGUGGGUUUCGGCCAGGGGCCCCGUCGUAGCCACUCGACCUGUCUUCACGAGGGGCACGCCAUGUGCAGGCUGGGUUCUCAAGGCUGACGUGGGCCGGGAGGUCACCCAGGGGUCGCAGCGGUCUGAAUACGUUGGCAGGGGCACCUUCUCUGCGGUUCGGGGAGAACAGACUCACCUCGACUCUUGUGCUCAUUUGAAAUUUAAUUCCGUGCAGCACCGAUCUCCCUGCAGUCUCAGGUCGUUUUUUUUUUUCACCUCAUUGCCACUUCGCACACAUUCGAUUUGUUGAAUCUUUGUCUGAACUUUCACCAGCCGUUAAGGUUGAUUUAAAACCAAAAGUUUGAAAAAUAAGAAAAGUGGUGAAAGUGUGAUAAAAAUAAAAUGUUACACUGAUGUUUGUUUCUUUCCAGGGCGACUGAUUUCAAAGCCCUGAUAUACCGUCACAGUAAGCCGCCUGCGUUUCUUAUCUAAUGGAGUGAUGUCUUCAUAAAGAAAGGAUUUCAA
Lepisosteus oculatus (spotted gar) is the source of this 5465-nucleotide long non-coding RNA. The record is from Ensembl. Lineage: Eukaryota; Metazoa; Chordata; Actinopteri; Semionotiformes; Lepisosteidae.